AUGGCGGAAGGCACAGGCUCUCAGAGGAAAUACGGGAAGGAGACCACGGAGGAACUGCUGGCAAGGCUGACUUUGCAGGAGGAGGAGGAUGACGAUUUCAUCUGGGAAGAGGAACUGCCGGACAUGGGAGCCACAAAGUGGCUAGCCAUCGCUCGUGUACACACGCCAAAGUCGUUCAGCCCCAACGCACUGUAUGGAGACAUGCAGGCAGCCUGGAACCCCGCUAAAAAAGUUGAGUGGAGGAAGAUCAAGAGUAACCUGUUCACGGUGCAAUUCGGGUGUCUGGGUGAUUGG
This 294-nucleotide ribosomal RNA is filed under the name Triticum aestivum (bread wheat). Its description in RNAcentral is "partial small subunit ribosomal RNA". The record is from RNAcentral. Lineage: Eukaryota; Viridiplantae; Streptophyta; Magnoliopsida; Poales; Poaceae.